GUGGGUCGCCCCAUAGCGGGGGUUGGGCCACCCCAUAGCAGGGCAUGGGCUGCCCCAUAGCGGGGGUUGGGCUGCCCCAUAGUGCGGGUUGGGCCACCCCAUAGCACGGGUUCGGCUGCCCCAUAGCAGGGGUUGGGCCGCCUCGUAGCGGGGGUAGGGCUGCCCCAUAGCGCACCUUGGGCUGCCCCAUAGUGCGGGUUCGGCUGCCCCAUAGCACGGGUUGGGCUGCCCCGUAGCAGGGGUAGGGCUGCCCCAUAGCACACCUUGGGCUGCCCCAUGGCAGGGGUUGGGCCGCCCCAUAGCGGGGGUUGGGCUGCCCCAUAGAGGUGGUGGGUUGCCCCAUAGCGCACCACGGGGGUGGGACCCCCCAUAGCAGGGGUUGGGCUGCCCCAUAGCAGGGGUUGGGCUGCCCCAUAGUGCGGGUUGGGCUGCCCCAUAGCGGGGGUUGGGCUGCCCCAUAGUAAGGGUUGGGCUGCCCCAUAGAGGGGGUGGGUUGCCCCAUGGCAGGGGUUGGGCUGCCCCACAGAGAUGGUGGGUCGCCCCAUAGCGCGGGUUGGGCUGCCCCAUAGCGGGGUCAGGACGCCCCAUAGAGGCACAGGGCUGCCCCAUAGAGGGGGUGGGACACCCCACAGAGCUUCAGGACACCCCAUAGCGGGGUCAGGACGCCCCAUAGAGGUAGUGGGGCACCCCAUAGAGGGGUCAGGACGCCCCAUAGCGGGGUCAGGAUGCCCCAUAGAGGGGUCAGGAUGCCCCAUAGAGGGGGUGGGACACCCCACAGAGCUUUAGGACGCCCCAUAGCGGGGUCAGGACGCCCCAUAGAGGGGGUGGGAUGCCCCAUAGAGGCCAUGGGACACCCCACAGAGGUUCAGGACGCCCCAUAGAGAAAACAGGACGCCCCAUAGAGGGGAUGGGUCACCCCACAGAGCUUCAGGACACCCCAUAGAGGAGGUGGGAUGCCCCAUAGAGGGGAUGGCUCACCCCAUAGCAGGGUCAGGACGCCCCAUAGAGGGGAUGGCUCACCCCAUAGCAAUUCAGGGGCACCCCACAGAGCUUCAGGACGCCCCAUAGAGAAAACAGGACGCCCC
This is a long non-coding RNA of Numida meleagris (helmeted guineafowl), 1085 nucleotides long. Lineage: Eukaryota; Metazoa; Chordata; Aves; Galliformes; Numididae. The record is from Ensembl.